UACGGGGGGAGCAAGCGUUGUUCGGAUUUACUGGGCGUAAAGGGCUCGUAGGCGGUUUGUCACGUCGGGAGUGAAAACUCAGGGCUCAACCCUGAGCGUGCUUCCGAUACGGGCAGACUAGAGGUAUGCAGGGGAGAACGGAAUUCCUGGUGUAGCGGUGGAAUGCGCAGAUAUCAGGAGGAACACCAAUUGCGAAGGCAGCUCGCUGGGACGUAACUGACGCUGAGACGCGAAAGCGUGGGGAGCAAACAGG
This 253-nucleotide ribosomal RNA is filed under the name uncultured bacterium. Its description in RNAcentral is "partial 16S ribosomal RNA". It matches the Rfam family "Bacterial small subunit ribosomal RNA", at positions 524 to 776 of the family's 1533-position model. The record is from RNAcentral.